CGAGUACGAGAUGCUACGGCAUCGAAGCAGUCUAUGUCAUACUUCCAAGAAAAGCUCGCACUGUCAAAAACAAAUUAAUGCCUGUACCAUAACCGACACAGGUGGGUAGGUAGAGUAUACUAAGGGGCGCGAGAUAACUCUCUCUAAGGAACUCGGCAAAAUAACUCCGUAACUUCGGGAGAAGGAGUGCCUUUUUAAGGCUGCAAUAACCAGAUCCAAGCAACUGUUUAUCAAAAACACAGGUCUCCGCUAAGUCGUAAGACGAUGUAUGGGGGCUGACGCCUGCCCAGUGCCAGAAGGUUAAAGAAGUUGGCUAGCCCUGCGAAGCUGAUGACUGAAGCCCUGGUGAACGGCGGCCGUAACAAUAACGGUCCUAAGGUAGCGAAAUUCCUUGUCGGGUAAGUUCCGACCCGCACGAAAGGCGUAAUGAUUUGGAUACUGUCUCGGAGAGGGACUCGGUGAAAUAGACUUGUCUGUGAAGAUGCGGACUACCUGCACCAGGACAGAAAGACCCUAUGAAGCUUUACUGUAACUUGAGAUUGAAAUUGGACUUUAUUUGCGCAGUAUAGGUGGGAGGCUUUGAAAGUAUUCUUGCGGGAAUAGUGGAGCCAUCAGUGAGAUACCACUCUUGUAAUGUUAGAUUUCUAACUUUGUAUCAUUAUCUGGUCAAAGAACAGUCUCAGGCGGGCAGUUUGACUGGGGCGGUCGCCUCCCAAACGGUAACGGAGGCGCACAAAGGUUUCCUCUGAACGGGUAGAAAUCGUAUCUAGAGUGUAAAGGCAUAAGGAAGCUUGACUGUGAGACCUACAAGUCGAGCAGGGACGAAAGUCGGUCUUAGUGAUCUGACGGUGCUGAGUGGAAAGGCCGUCACUCAACGGAUAAAAGUUACUCUAGGAUAACAGGCUGAUCUCCCCCAAGAGUUCACAUCGACGGGGAGGUUUGGCACCUCGAUGUCGGCUCAUCGCAUCCUGGGGCGGUAGUACGUCCCAAGGGUUGGGCUGUUCGCCCAUGAAAGCGGUACGCGAGCUGGGUUCAGAACGUCGUGAGACAGUUCGGUCCAUAUCCGGUGUAGGCGUUAGAAUAUUGAGAGGAGCCUUCUUUAGUACGAGAGGACCGAGAAGGACAUACCUCUGGUGUACCAGUUAUCGUGCCAACGGUAAACGCUGGGUAGCUAUGUAUGGAGUGGAUAACCGCUGAAAGCAUCUAAGUGGGAAGCCCACCUCAAGAUAAGUAUUCUC
RNAcentral lists this ribosomal RNA (1238 nucleotides) under metagenome. RNAcentral describes it as "bacterial LSU rRNA". It matches the Rfam family "Bacterial large subunit ribosomal RNA", at positions 1564 to 2815 of the family's 2925-position model. The record is from RNAcentral.